RNAcentral lists this ribosomal RNA (385 nucleotides) under uncultured fungus. Its description in RNAcentral is "SSU rRNA". It matches the Rfam family "Eukaryotic small subunit ribosomal RNA", at positions 296 to 680 of the family's 1831-position model. Lineage: Eukaryota; Fungi. The record is from RNAcentral.
CAUUCAAAUUUCUGCCCUAUCAACUUUCGAUGGUAGGAUAGUGGCCUACCAUGGUAUCAACGGGUAACGGGGAAUUAGGGUUCGACUCCGGAGAGGGAGCCUGAGAAACGGCUACCACAUCCAAGGAAGGCAGCAGGCGCGCAAAUUACCCAAUCCCGACACGGGGAGGUAGUGACAAUAAAUACUGAUACAGGGCUCUUUUGGGUCUUGUAAUUGGAAUGAGUACAAUUUAAAUCCCUUAACGAGGAACAAUUGGAGGGCAAGUCUGGUGCCAGCAGCCGCGGUAAUUCCAGCUCCAAUAGCGUAUAUUAAAGUUGUUGCAGUUAAAAAGCUCGUAGUUGAACCUUGGGCCUGGCUGGCCGGUCCGCCUCACCGCGUGUACUGG